UUUUAGCCCCGAUAGGACUGAAAAUCCUUUUGUGCUGGGGUUCAGCACAAAAGAUUGAAAGGGAUAGCGGGACUGGUC
This 78-nucleotide small RNA is filed under the name Flavobacterium circumlabens. RNAcentral's name for it is "Flavo-1 RNA". It matches the Rfam family "Flavo-1 RNA". The record is from RNAcentral. Lineage: Bacteria; Pseudomonadati; Bacteroidota; Flavobacteriia; Flavobacteriales; Flavobacteriaceae.